ACUCCACAUACGCAUCCUUUGCUGAGGAUACGGUUAACGGAGCGAAAGCGAUGUUCAACCGCAAAAGAAGCAGAGGGGGCUUAGUGGUGGGGUGACUGCGUACCUUUUGUAUAAUGGGUCAGCGACUUAUAUUCUGUAGCAAGGUUAACCGAAUAGGGGAGCCGGAGGGAAACCGAGUCUUAAUUGGGCGUUAAGUUGCAGGGUAUAGACCCGAAACCCGGUGAUCUAGCCAUGGGCAGGUUGAAGGUUGGGUAACACUAACUGGAGGACCGAACCGACUAAUGUUGAAAAAUUAGCGGAUGACCUGUGGCUGGGGGUGAAAGGCCAAUCAAACCGGGAGAUAGCUGGUUCUCCCCGAAAGCUAUUUAGGUAGCGCCUCGUGAAUUCAUCUCCGGGGGUAGAGCACUGUUUCGGCUAGGGGGCCAUCCCGGCUUACCAACCCGAUGCAAACUGCGAAUACCGGAGAAUGUUAUCACGGGAGACACACGGCGGGUGCUAACGUCCGUCGUGAAGAGGGAAACAACCCAGACCGCCAGCUAAGGUCCCAAAGUCAUGGUUAAGUGGGAAACGAUGUGGGAAGGCCCAGACAGCCAGGAUGUUGGCUUAGAAGCAGCCAUCAUUUAAAGAAAGCGUAAUAGCUCACUGGUCGAGUCGGCCUGCGCGGAAGAUGUAACGGGGCUAAACCAUGCACCGAAGCUGCGGCAGCGAACGUAUCACCCAAGACAACUUUACGGAGUUAACGAUUGACGGAGCGAAGCGACGUCAAAGCGUUCAUUAAAGUCGAGUUGGCUUAGGGAUACGUUCGUUGGGUAGGGGAGCGUUCUGUAAGCCUGUGAAGGUGGCCUGUGAGGGUUGCUGGAGGUAUCAGAAGUGCGAAUGCUGACAUAAGUAACGAUAAAGCGGGUGAAAAGCCCGCUCGCCGGAAGACCAAGGGUUCCUGUCCAACGUUAAUCGGGGCAGGGUGAGUCGACCCCUAAGGCGAGGCCGAAAGGCGUAGUCGAUGGGAAACGGGUUAAUAUUCCCGUACUUGGUGUUACUGCGAAGGGGGGACGGAGAAGGCUAUGUUGGCCGGGCGACGGUUGUCCCGGUUUAAGCGUGUAGGCUGGUUUUCCAGGCAAAUCCGGAAA
Molecule: ribosomal RNA, 1127 nt
Filed under: Salmonella enterica subsp. enterica serovar Poona
Lineage: Bacteria; Pseudomonadati; Pseudomonadota; Gammaproteobacteria; Enterobacterales; Enterobacteriaceae
Description: partial 23S ribosomal RNA
Rfam family: Bacterial large subunit ribosomal RNA
Source: RNAcentral